AGUCUACAAGAGGCGCUAGUUGCAAAGCUUCCGGUUCUGGGGGAAGGCGUGGCUUCCGCGCUCUUUGAAAUGUCCGGCGCCGGAAUGUCUGGGUGCUUUGGUUGGAGAGGGUCCCAUUUCCAGUCAUUCUUCAGCCUGGUGAUUCCCGCGCUCCCCUGAGGAGCAUAUGAAGUACGUCGGUUCUGCCAGGUUGGAACGCGCUGCUGGACACUCGGCCGUAAGGCGGAUCCCGGAUCCCCUCCCACUCCGACCCUUCCCUCCAGAAGGGCCGGUUCCCAAACGGCCCCUUUAGACACAUCCAAGCGGUUGCCGACGGCCCUCACGAUGAAAACUGCUGUCCGUUGGUGAAGGCAGCCUCUUCUGUGCUCCUCGCCGCUGACUUCCUGAGGCGGACCUACCUGUGGAGGCAUACCAGGAACCAGACGAUGACCCCCUCCAAAAGUUGGGUCUUUGAGGAGAGCUACUAACUUGGGUUCCUGGUACACCCUCUACAUGCAGUGGUGAAGCUUAUCUAACAGUCAUUCAUAGAAUCAGUUUGGGAAGGGGAAUUUUCACUGAACUCUCAUAGAGAAACUGUGUUUUAGAUAACAGAAAGUUCUGCACGGUUAAAAUGGAACAGAAAUUUUUUUGCACAGAAAUUAGGAUUACCGAAAAUACUGAAGAAAGACUACCUCUGAUUGGACUCUUCUCAAGGAAUUAAUAAUUCAAGAACUAAGGAAAGAAAAAAGUGAUUAUAUGAAAAUACUGAAGUUGAUCGUAGCAGCUGAAGGCUGAUCCUGUGCUGAAGUACAUUGGUGCAAUCUUGGCUCACUGCAUCUCCACCCCAGGUUCAAGCGAUUCUCCUGCCUCAGCCUCCCAAGCAGCUGGGAUUACAGAAUGUCACAUAAAUGGAAUCAUACUGUGUCCGGAAUUGGUGGGUUCUUGGUCUCACUGACUUCAAGAAUGACGCCAUGGGCCCUCGCGGUGAGUGUUACAGCUCUUAAGGUGGCGCGUCUGGAGUUUGUUCCUUCUGAUGUUCGGAUGUGUUCGGAGUUUCUUCCUUCUGGUGGGUUCGUGGUCUCGCUGGCUCAGGAGUGAAGCUGCAGACUUUCGCGAUUUCAUCUCUCUCUCUGCUAUGGACACAGAUGGCUUCACUCCAUCCUGUAUUCUUCGGACCAUGAUAAAAUUCCAGACUCUCGGUAGUUUUUGCGUUCCAAGAAGUAGAGCCUAGAGUGGUGGCCUAUAAUUACAGUUACUCAGGAGGCUGAGGCAGGAGGAUCCUUUGAGUCCAGCAGUUUGAGGCCAGCCUGGACACCACAGCAAGACCACCAAUAAAUAAAUAAAUAAAUGGAACAUGUUUCCCUGUCA
Long non-coding RNA from Homo sapiens (human), 1347 nucleotides. Ensembl annotates it as UBL7 divergent transcript. Its record names the gene UBL7-DT. NCBI's taxonomy places the organism in Eukaryota, Metazoa, Chordata, Mammalia, Primates, Hominidae. The record is from Ensembl.